Molecule: ribosomal RNA, 312 nt
Filed under: uncultured bacterium
Lineage: Bacteria
Description: bacterial SSU rRNA
Rfam family: Bacterial small subunit ribosomal RNA
Source: RNAcentral
GACGAACGCGUGGCGGCGUGCCUAACACAUGCAAGUCGAGCGGGGAGGAGGAAGCUUGCUUCCGAAUCCUAGCGGCGGACGGGUGAGUAACGCGUGAGCAACCUGCCUCAAACAGGGGGAUAACGCAUCGAAAGAUGUGCUAAUACCGCGUAAGACCACAGCACCGCAUGGUGCAGGGGUCAAAGGAGCAAUCCGGUUUGAGAUGGGCUCGCGUCCGAUUAGCUAGUUGGUGAGAUAACAGCCCACCAAGGCGACGAUCGGUAGCCGACCUGAGAGGGUGAUCGGCCACAUUGGAACUGAGAAACGGUCCAG